RNAcentral lists this ribosomal RNA (493 nucleotides) under uncultured bacterium. RNAcentral describes it as "partial 16S ribosomal RNA". It matches the Rfam family "Bacterial small subunit ribosomal RNA", at positions 29 to 523 of the family's 1533-position model. The record is from RNAcentral.
AUUGAACGCUGGCGGCAUGCUUUACACAUGCAAGUCGAACGGUAACAGGUUAAGCUGACGAGUGGCGAACGGGUGAGUAAUGCAUCGGAACGUGCCCGGUCGUGGGGGAUAACGCAGCGAAAGCUGCGCUAAUACCGCAUACGAUCUGAGGAUGAAAGCGGGGGACCGUAAGGCCUCGCGCGAUCGGAGCGGCCGAUGUCAGAUUAGGUAGUUGGUGGGGUAAAGGCUCACCAAGCCGACGAUCUGUAGCUGGUCUGAGAGGACGACCAGCCACACUGGGACUGAGACACGGCCCAGACUCCUACGGGAGGCAGCAGUGGGGAAUUUUGGACAAUGGGCGAAAGCCUGAUCCAGCAAUGGCGCGUGCAGGAAGAAGGCCUUCGGGUUGUAAACUGCUUUUGUACGGAGCGAAAAGGUUUCCUCUAAUACAGGGGGCUCAUGACGGUACCGUAAGAAUAAGCACCGGCUAACUACGUGCCAGCCGCCGCCGUAA